This 67-nucleotide transfer RNA is filed under the name Staphylinidae sp. BMNH 1274698. RNAcentral's name for it is "tRNA-Trp". The record is from RNAcentral. Lineage: Eukaryota; Metazoa; Arthropoda; Insecta; Coleoptera; Staphylinidae.
AAGGAUUUAAGUUAAUUAAAACUUGAAGCCUUCAAAGCUUCUAAUAAGAAGUACUUCUUAAGCCUUA